RNAcentral lists this ribosomal RNA (402 nucleotides) under uncultured Sphingobacteriales bacterium. Its description in RNAcentral is "bacterial SSU rRNA". It matches the Rfam family "Bacterial small subunit ribosomal RNA", at positions 977 to 1382 of the family's 1533-position model. The record is from RNAcentral. Lineage: Bacteria; Pseudomonadati; Bacteroidota; Sphingobacteriia; Sphingobacteriales.
GGGCUCAAAUGUAUGUUGACGUAUUCUGAAAGGGAUACUUCUUCGGACAAUAUACAAGGUGCUGCAUGGUUGUCGUCAGCUCGUGCCGUGAGGUGUCGGGUUAAGUCCCAUAACGAGCGCAACCCUAUCAUUAGUUGCCAUCAGGUCAAGCUGGGGACUCUAAUGAAACUGCCUACGCAAGUAGUGAGGAAGGUGGGGAUGACGUCAAAUCAGCACGGCCCUUACGUCCAGGGCUACACACGUGCUACAAUGGCCGGUACAAAGGGCAGCUACCUGGUGACAGGGUGCUAAUCUCAAAAGCCGGUCUCAGUUCGGAUCGGAGUCUGCAACCCGACUCCGUGAAGUUGGAUUCGCUAGUAAUCGCGCAUCAGCCAUGGCGCGGUGAAUACGUUCCCGGGCCUU